This 595-nucleotide ribosomal RNA is filed under the name Gambierdiscus australes. Its description in RNAcentral is "partial large subunit ribosomal RNA". It matches the Rfam family "Eukaryotic large subunit ribosomal RNA", at positions 2108 to 2706 of the family's 3401-position model. The record is from RNAcentral. Lineage: Eukaryota; Dinophyceae; Gonyaulacales; Pyrocystaceae.
UUAGAACUGAUUCGGGCAAGGGGAAUCCGACUGUUUAAUUGAAACAAAGCAUUGCGAGGGCCUCAAAGGGUGGUGCCACAAUGUGAUUUCUGCCCAGUGCUCUGAAUGUCAAAGUGAGGAAAUUCAACUAAGCGCGGGUAAACGGCGGGAGUAACUAUGACUCUCUUAAGGUAGCCAAAUGCCUCGUCAUCCAAUUAGUGACGCGCAUGAAUGGAUUAAUGAGAUUCCCACUGUCCCCAUCUACUGUCCAGCGAAACCACAGCCAAGGGAACGGGCUUGGGUAAAUCAGCGGGGAAAGAAGACCCUGUUGAGCUUGACUCUAAUCUGACUUUGUGAAAUGACUUAGGAGGUGUAGGAUAUGUGGGAGCUCUGGUGAUCUUGAAAUACCACUACUUUAAUGUCACUUUACUUACUCUAUCAGACUGUGGCCUGCUUCCCAGCAGGUUUUUGUUUCAAGGCAUCUCAUCUGACUUGUUGACUUGCGUAGAGGACGUAGUCAGGUGGGCAGUUUGGCUGGGGCGGCACAUCUGUUAAAGGAUAACGCAGGUGUCCCAAGGUAAGCUCAAGGAGAACAGAAAUCUCAUGUGGAUCAGAA